This 231-nucleotide ribosomal RNA is filed under the name uncultured bacterium. Its description in RNAcentral is "partial 16S ribosomal RNA". It matches the Rfam family "Bacterial small subunit ribosomal RNA", at positions 118 to 347 of the family's 1533-position model. The record is from RNAcentral.
UGAGCAAUCUGCCCUUCUCAUCGGAAUAAGCGUUGGAAACGACGUCUAAUGCCGAAUACGACCUCCUUUCGCAUGAUCGGAGGUGGAAAGCUCCGGCGGAGAAGGAUGAGCUCGCGGCCUAUCAGCUAGUUGGUGUGGGUAAUGGCCCACCAAGGCGACGACGGGUAGCCGGCCUGAGAGGGUGACCGGCCACACUGGGACUGAGACACGGCCAGACUCCUACGGGAGCAG